Molecule: ribosomal RNA, 433 nt
Filed under: uncultured bacterium
Lineage: Bacteria
Description: partial 16S ribosomal RNA
Rfam family: Bacterial small subunit ribosomal RNA
Source: RNAcentral
AACGAACGCUGGCGGCAUGCCUAACACAUGCAAGUCGAACGAGACCUUCGGGUCUAGUGGCGCACGGGUGCGUAACGCGUGGGAACCUGCCCUUAGGUUCGGAAUAACUCCCCGAAAGGGGUGCUAAUACCGGAUAAUGUCUUCGGACCAAAGAUUUAUCGCCUUUGGAUGGGCCCGCGUUGGAUUAGCUAGUUGGUAGGGUAAAAGCCUACCAAGGCGACGAUCCAUAGCUGGUCUGAGAGGAUGAUCAGCCACACUGGGACUGAGACACGGCCCAGACUCCUGCGGGAGGCAGCAGUGGGGAAUAUUGGACAAGGGGCAAAAGCCUGACCCAGCAAGGCCGCGGGAGUGAUGAAGCCCUUAGGGUUGAAAAGCUCUUUUCCCCGGGAUGAUAAUGACAGUCCCGGGAGAAUAAGCCCCGGCUAACUCCGUG